This 491-nucleotide ribosomal RNA is filed under the name uncultured bacterium. RNAcentral describes it as "partial 16S ribosomal RNA". It matches the Rfam family "Bacterial small subunit ribosomal RNA", at positions 29 to 506 of the family's 1533-position model. The record is from RNAcentral.
AGUGAACGCUGGCGGUAGGCCUAACACAUGCAAGUCGAACGGCAGCACAGUAAGAGCUUGCUCUUACGGGUGGCGAGUGGCGGACGGGUGAGGAAUACAUCGGAAUCUACUUUUUCGUGGAGGGGAACGUAGGGAAACUUACGCUAAUACCGAAUACUACCUACGGGUGAAAGCAGGGGAUCUUCGUACCUUGCGCGAUUGAAUGAGCUGAUGUCGGAUUAGCUAGGUGGCUGGGUAAAGGCCCACCAAGGCGACGAUCCGUAGCUGGUCUGAGAGGAUGUUAAGCCACACUGGAAAUGAGACACGGUCCAGAUGCAUACGGGAGGCAGAAGUGGGGAAUAUUGGACAAUGGGCGCAAGCCUGAACCAGCCAUACCGAGUGGGUGAAGAAGGCCUUCGGGUUGUAAAGCCCUUUUGUUGGGAAAGAAAAGCAGCAGGUUAAUACCCCGCUGUUCUGACGGUACCCAAAGAAUAAGCACCGGCUAACUUCGC